Molecule: long non-coding RNA, 586 nt
Filed under: Drosophila guanche
Lineage: Eukaryota; Metazoa; Arthropoda; Insecta; Diptera; Drosophilidae
Source: RNAcentral
GCACACUGGUUUCCGUCUAUACUUAUCCGAAAAAAUAAAACUGUGUUCGAUUUUUGAUAUAUGUAAAGAUUUGCCAUGGGGUUCAUUCUAGUCCCACUGUGCGUCGGGAGAGGCGGUCAUUAGGGCAUCGCACAGAGAGUGCCGAGCUGUCUGUUUGCUCGGGCCACAAAAGCAACUACAAUGGUUAUGACUACGGGAUGUCCUGCGUCUUGUGCUGGCUUCGCCGUUUUUCCGCCGCUCAGCCCUCCGCGGGACACUGUUAACGUGAAGUCUUGCGCCGUAAAAUAUGCAGAAACAAAUGAGCCGAAGUGAGGCAAGGACGUGCCGGCCCGGCUCCUGCACCAGUACCCGUUCACUCCGCAACUGGCGCAUCUUUGACGUUAUGCAGAUUUCCAUCGUUUGGUUUGCAGUCAGCGCCUGAGCCUGAGUUUGAGUUCAUUGAGUCCAACUGCUGCGAGUAAUUAAAUUUAGCUGGAAAUUCUGGUGCAUUUCCUCCUUUGAUUUCGAACGCGCUUCCAACUUCCAUGCCAGCACUCAGACCCUACCCGCACUCCCUUGUUUACAUUAGAAAAAUAAAUGAAAAUUC